UCUCUCCUCUGGAGUUUUGCAGUGAGCCCAGGAUGUGGGCAAAAGUGUUUUACUUCACCCUGGGAAAAGAAAGAAAGAAAACAGGAAAACAGGAGAAAAACAUUCAACUCCACUGAGAGAUUAUUCUAAUCCCAGGACAUGUGGUAGGGGACGUUCUCAAGGAGAUAAAAAUGCCUUUUAUUUCUGUUCCCUAUGCAGAAGAUCAAAAAAAAGGAACUCAGAUUCAAUGAGUUAUGUUGAAGGACUGCAUCGUGAUGGUAAUA
Molecule: long non-coding RNA, 263 nt
Organism: Lagopus leucura (white-tailed ptarmigan)
Lineage: Eukaryota; Metazoa; Chordata; Aves; Galliformes; Phasianidae
Exons: 3
Source: RefSeq, a predicted model, not a curated record